Molecule: unclassified non-coding RNA, 432 nt
Filed under: soil metagenome
Description: partial contains 5.8S ribosomal RNA, internal transcribed spacer 2, and large subunit ribosomal RNA
Rfam family: 5.8S ribosomal RNA (bases 1-120)
Source: RNAcentral
GAUGAAGAACGUAUCGAAAUGCGAUACGUAAUGUGAAUUGCAGAAUUCAGUGAAUCAUCGAAUCUUUGAACGCAUAUUGCGCUCUCUGGUAUUCCGGAGAGCAUGCUUGUUUGAGUAUCAGUAAACACCUCAACUUCCAUAUCUUUUUUGAAAUGGGAGUUGGACUUGAGUGAUCCCAACGCUUUUCCUCACCGAAAAGUGGCGGGUUACUUGAAAUGCAGGUGCAGCUGGACUUUUCUCUGAGCUAUAAGCAUAUCUAUUUAGUCUGCCUAAAAAACAGAUUAUUACCUUUGCUGCAGCUAACAUAAAGGAGAUUAGUUCUUGUGCUGACUGAUGCAGGAUUCACAAAGACGGCUUCGGCCGACUUUGUAAACUCGAUCUCAAAUCAAGUAAGACUACCCGCUGAACUUAAGCAUAUCAAUAAGCGGAGGA